CAUGCCUUACACAUGCAAGUCGAACGGCAGCACGGGAGCAAUCCUGGUGGCGAGUGGCGAACGGGUGAGUAAUAUAUCGGAACGUGCCCAGUCGUGGGGGAUAACGUAGCGAAAGCUACGCUAAUACCGCAUACGAUCUAAGGAUGAAAGCGGGGGACUCGCAAGAGCCUCGCGCGAUUGGAGCGGCCGAUAUCAGAUUAGGUAGUUGGUGGGGGUAAAGGCUCACCAAGCCAACGAUCUGUAGCUGGUCUGAGAGGACGACCAGCCACACUGGAACUGAGACACGGUCCAGACUCCUACGGGAGGCAGCAGUGGGGAAUUUUGGACAAUGGACGCAAGUCUGAUCCAGCCAUUCCGCGUGCAGGAUGAGGCCCUCGGGUUGUAAACUGCUUUUGUACGGAACGAAAAGGUUUCUAUUAAUACUAGGAGCUCAUGACGGUACCGUAAGAAUAAGCACCGGCUAACUACGUG
This 471-nucleotide ribosomal RNA is filed under the name uncultured bacterium. RNAcentral describes it as "bacterial SSU rRNA". It matches the Rfam family "Bacterial small subunit ribosomal RNA", at positions 43 to 507 of the family's 1533-position model. The record is from RNAcentral.